CAUGAAGCAGCAAUGGGACGACGGCGGCGGCAAGCAGAAGGUGGCCGUAUAAGUCUAUCCCACAGGGUCGUUCAUCUCUCACCCUUUUCUUUCUCCAGAUCGAAGUCGACAUCUGGGGCGGUUGACCGGGGGCGACGCUGAUGGGGCGGCGGAUGUGUGUGCCUGGAUCGUUGGAGCGCGAAGAGUGGCGCCGGCAUCAUGGUGGUGAAUGCUGACCGCUUCAUGAGUCGUAACCAAGAGCUGGGGAGAGGUUGUGGGUCUCGUUGGGAACGCGGUUGGCGGCCUCCUCGGGGUGGACACGGUCCAGGCGCCCUGACCGAACCGCGACCGAUCUGGACAGGACCGGACCGAAGUUUCCUGACGAAGAGCCAAUUCAUCUAUGGUAGCGUCUCUACAUACAUGAAGCUCGUCCUAGGGAACUCCGCCGCCCGCCGGCACCGUCACUGUCAGCACAUACUAGACAUCGUUUGUGGGGGACAACCAUGAUGAAAUCGACUUGAGUUCCUGGGGAGCAAGAUGCGGCACACCAUCGUGUUUGUCUACACCCGAAGUGCCCUUCGAGCGAACACACGUGAACCAGAGAUUGCUCGAGGAAGAAGGAAGACAGAGGGGCCUGAGAUUUGUUCAACAGUGUUUGCCAACAUCACCGGAAAGAAGGAGGUGCAGUUCAGGCCCAGCGUGCGUGCAUGCACGGGCUGUACCGCUUCAUCGCGUCAGGAAGGCCGAGGACGUGACAACUGCGACAAAUUUGACGGAGGCAGACGGCGACCGUGGUCGUGGAAGAGAGGAUGUGUGCGUCGUGUAGGCGGCGUCCGGCCUAAUUCCUGAGCUGUAGGUGGGCUAGCUUGAAAAAUUCAGAGAAGAUCCAAGGUACAUGUGGCUGUGUGUUGCCAACAUACAAUCUUGUAGCUUAAUUUAUGCUGAUUAUGCAUGGCAAAAUUUUGCCAAGAAGAUGCAAAAAAAAAAAUUUA
Molecule: long non-coding RNA, 971 nt
Organism: Triticum aestivum (bread wheat)
Lineage: Eukaryota; Viridiplantae; Streptophyta; Magnoliopsida; Poales; Poaceae
Exons: 3
Source: RefSeq, a predicted model, not a curated record